UACGGAGGGUGCAAACGUUGCUCGGAAUCAUUGGGCGUAAAGCGCACGUAGGCGGUCCGGUAAGUCGGGUGUGAAAUCCCUCGGCUCAACCGAGGAAGUGCAUUCGAAACUUCCGGACUUGAAUACGGAAGAGGGUCGCGGAAUUCCCGGUGUAGAGGUGAAAUUCGUAGAUAUCGGGAGGAACACCAGUGGCGAAGGCGGCGACCUGGGCCAAUAUUGACGCUGAGGUGCGAAAGCGUGGGGAGCAAACAGG
RNAcentral lists this ribosomal RNA (253 nucleotides) under uncultured bacterium. RNAcentral's name for it is "partial 16S ribosomal RNA". It matches the Rfam family "Bacterial small subunit ribosomal RNA", at positions 524 to 776 of the family's 1533-position model. The record is from RNAcentral.